RNAcentral lists this ribosomal RNA (375 nucleotides) under uncultured bacterium. Its description in RNAcentral is "bacterial SSU rRNA". It matches the Rfam family "Bacterial small subunit ribosomal RNA", at positions 521 to 896 of the family's 1533-position model. The record is from RNAcentral.
UAAUACGUAGGGUGCAAGCGUUAAUCGGAAUUACUGGGCGUAAAGCGUGCGCAGGCGGUUGUGCAAGACAGAUGUGAAAUCCCCGGGCUCAACCUGGGAAUUGCAUUUGUGACUGCACGGCUAGAGUGUGUCAGAGGGGGGUAGAAUUCCACGUGUAGCAGUGAAAUGCGUAGAGAUGUGGAGGAAUACCGAUGGCGAAGGCAGCCCCCUGGGAUAACACUGACGCUCAUGCACGAAAGCGUGGGGAGCAAACAGGAUUAGAUACCCUGGUAGUCCACGCCCUAAACGAUGUCUACUAGUUGUCGGGUCUUAAUUGACUUGGUAACGCAGCUAACGCGUGAAGUAGACCGCCUGGGGAGUACGGUCGCAAGAUUA